Molecule: non-coding RNA, 148 nt
Filed under: Nomascus leucogenys (northern white-cheeked gibbon)
Lineage: Eukaryota; Metazoa; Chordata; Mammalia; Primates; Hylobatidae
Source: Rfam by way of RNAcentral
GCUGUGUGUGGUGGUGCAUGCCUGUAGUCCUAGCUACUCAGGAGGCUGAGGCAGGAGGACCACUUGAGCCCAGGAUGUCCAGGCUGCAGUGAGCUAUGAUCAUACCACUGCACUCCAGCCUGGGCUACAGAGUGAGACCCUGUCUCUA